RNAcentral lists this ribosomal RNA (254 nucleotides) under uncultured bacterium. RNAcentral's name for it is "partial small subunit ribosomal RNA". It matches the Rfam family "Bacterial small subunit ribosomal RNA", at positions 26 to 285 of the family's 1533-position model. The record is from RNAcentral.
AGGACGAACGCUGGCGGCGUGCUUAACACAUGCAAGUCGAGCGGAAAGGCCCUUCGGGGUACUCGAGCGGCGAACGGGUGAGUAACACGUGAGCAACCUGCCCUUAGCUUCGGGAUAGCUCCGGGAAACCGGAAUUAAAUACCGAAUAUGAUUUUUGCUGACAUCAGCAGAAGUGGAAAGUUUUUCGGCUAGGGAUGGACUCGCGGCCUAUCAGCUAGUUGGUGAGGUAACGGCCCACAAGGCGACGACGGGUA